This 73-nucleotide transfer RNA is filed under the name gamma proteobacterium HdN1. It matches the Rfam family "tRNA". Rfam says of the family: Transfer RNA (tRNA) molecules are approximately 80 nucleotides in length. Lineage: Bacteria; Pseudomonadati; Pseudomonadota; Gammaproteobacteria. The record is from Rfam by way of RNAcentral.
UCCUGGAUAGCUCAGUCGGUAGAGCAAGCGGCUGUUAACCGCUUGGUCGCAGGUUCGAGUCCUGCUCCAGGAG